Molecule: ribosomal RNA, 405 nt
Filed under: uncultured prokaryote
Description: bacterial SSU rRNA
Rfam family: Bacterial small subunit ribosomal RNA
Source: RNAcentral
UGGGGAAUAUUGCGCAAUGGGGGAAACCCUGACGCAGCAACGCCGCGUGAAGGAAGAAGGUUUUCGGAUUGUAAACUUCUGUCCUUGGUGAAGAGGAAGAGACGGUAGCCAAGGAGGAAGCCCCGGCUAACUACGUGCCAGCAGCCGCGGUAAUACGUAGGUGGCGAGCGUUGUCCGGAAUUAUUGGGCGUAAAGCGCGCGCAGGCGGGAUAUUAAGUCUCAUUUAAAAGUGCGGGGCUCAACCCCGUGAUGGGUGAGAAACUAAUAUUCUUGAGUGCCGGAGAGGAAAGCGGAAUUCCCAGUGUAGCGGUGAAAUGCGUAGAUAUUGGGAGGAACACCAGUGGCGAAGGCGGCUUUCUGGACGGUGUCUGACGCUGAGGCGCGAAAGCCAGGGGAGCGAACGGG